This 77-nucleotide transfer RNA is filed under the name Elusimicrobiota bacterium. Its description in RNAcentral is "Elusimicrobia bacterium (groundwater metagenome) tRNA-Cys". It matches the Rfam family "tRNA". From Rfam's summary of the family: Transfer RNA (tRNA) molecules are approximately 80 nucleotides in length. Lineage: Bacteria; Pseudomonadati; Elusimicrobiota. The record is from RNAcentral.
GGUGCGAGAGCCAAGUGGUCCAAGGCGAUGGUCUGCAAAACCAUUAUCCGCGGGUUCGAAUCCCGCUCGCACCUCCA